This 767-nucleotide long non-coding RNA is filed under the name Pollicipes pollicipes. RNAcentral's name for it is "uncharacterized LOC119109486". The record is from RNAcentral. Lineage: Eukaryota; Metazoa; Arthropoda; Thecostraca; Pollicipedomorpha; Pollicipedidae.
GGCCGAACAGGAUCCCGAAUUGGUUGUUGUUGAAGAUACGCCUUAGCUUAACCUGUACGAGGAGGACGGCGACCAGGAGUCGGAGCCGCUGGAGCGGCUGAGCAUCACGGAGCCGGUGCGCACGCCGGCCCGGCCGCGGCCCGACGCUGACGACGACUAUGCCGAGACGGACGCCGACUACACCUACAUCUCGGACGCGCCCGCCCACGCCAAAGUGGUGUGAGCGCGGCGCGCCACCGCAGCCAGCGAACAAGCGCGGCAGCUGGCGCCGGCGCUAUUUAUACGAGGACUGGCGCGCCGGUGGCCGGCCACCGGUGCGCACGUGCGGUCGCUUAGCGACGGCGAGUCGUGUGACGCGCGGCGCGCGAGCUGUGAUUCCGGCAGGCCGGCCGACCGGCCAGUGCGGCGGCGGCCCGCCGCGAGACGGAUCAACGGGCGGCGAACCCUUCCGGCGAGACAGAUCAAUUGCGGCCGGGCGGUGUCAUGUGUCGAUCGCCACGAGUUCUGUGUGACAGGUGAACUCGUAAUCGAAUUUAUGUCAGCAGUCUGAGCAGAUCGUUAGUCAACUGUUUGUGCGCAUGUGAAUUAUUAGUGUUUGAUGUGACGAUUAGUUUUCCGUGAUCAAUUCCAAUGAACUGACAAGUUGCAUUCAUCCAGUGUAAAUAGUUCAUGUAUAUAGUGUCAUAUGUUUGUGGUGCAAUUGCCAAAUAUUGCAGUUUGAUACCUAACAGCCAUAUGCUUUUGAUGAUUAAAUCUCUAAUGUGGGA